RNAcentral lists this ribosomal RNA (734 nucleotides) under Escherichia coli. RNAcentral's name for it is "bacterial SSU rRNA". It matches the Rfam family "Bacterial small subunit ribosomal RNA", at positions 59 to 782 of the family's 1533-position model. The record is from RNAcentral. Lineage: Bacteria; Pseudomonadati; Pseudomonadota; Gammaproteobacteria; Enterobacterales; Enterobacteriaceae.
CAGUCGAACGGUAACAGGAAACAGCUUGCUGUUUCGCUGACGAGUGGCGGACGGGUGAGUAAUGUCUGGGAAACUGCCUGAUGGAGGGGGAUAACUACUGGAAACGGUAGCUAAUACCGCAUAACGUCGCAAGACCAAAGAGGGGGACCUUCGGGCCUCUUGCCAUCGGAUGUGCCCAGAUGGGAUUAGCUAGUAGGUGGGGUAACGGCUCACCUAGGCGACGAUCCCUAGCUGGUCUGAGAGGAUGACCAGCCACACUGGAACUGAGACACGGUCCAGACUCCUACGGGAGGCAGCAGUGGGGAAUAUUGCACAAUGGGCGCAAGCCUGAUGCAGCCAUGCCGCGUGUAUGAAGAAGGCCUUCGGGUUGUAAAGUACUUUCAGCGGGGAUGAAGGGAGUAAAGUUAAUACCUUUGCUCAUUGACGUUACCCGCAGAAGAAGCACCGGCUAACUCCGUGCCAGCAGCCGCGGUAAUACGGAGGGUGCAAGCGUUAAUCGGAAUUACUGGGCGUAAAGCGCACGCAGGCGGUUUGUUAAGUCAGAUGUGAAAUCCCCGGGCUCAACCUGGGAACUGCAUCUGAUACUGGCAAGCUUGAGUCUCGUAGAGGGGGGUAGAAUUCCAGGUGUAGCGGUGAAAUGCGUAGAGAUCUGGAGGAAUACCGGUGGCGAAGGCGGCCCCCUGGACGAAGACUGACGCUCAGGUGCGAAAGCGUGGGGAGCAAACAGGAUUAGA